This is a long non-coding RNA of Coregonus clupeaformis (lake whitefish), 682 nucleotides long. RefSeq lists it as uncharacterized. The record is from RefSeq and is a predicted model, not a curated record. Lineage: Eukaryota; Metazoa; Chordata; Actinopteri; Salmoniformes; Salmonidae. The transcript is spliced from 3 exons.
UUUUGAUGGACCAGAAGGACAUCGGUUCUUGGUCUACAAUGCAAAGGCUGUUAGGGAGGAUGAAUACUACUUGGCAGGAAAGAUGAUUGCUGUGUCAGUUGUGCAUGGAGGUCCAGGACCCCAGUUCCUGUCAGAAGAUCUUGUACAUUAUCUUGCAGGCCAGCCUUCAUUCAAAGCAACAAAUAAUUUAAUAACUGAUGAAGAAAUAGGGAAAGCUUUGCAAGAGGUGAGAAUAGCAUAAGGGUAUGGUAGGGCAGAGUUUUUCAUACUUACUGCAGUGUUUUUGAGACAAUGUUUACUUCCUAUAUCACGUGCGGAAUAUAUUUAAUUAAUUUAUUAGUUUUUGAUAGUGUAAGAUUACACCUUGCUAUGUACGUUAUUAAAAAAAUAGGCAAGGAGAUACAGUGCAUACAGUUAUUGACUGGGGUGUUUUUGCCCAUUUUCAUGUCUUUCAGAUUGAGAAUGCUGCUUCAUUGGAUGCUCUGCAAGAAUGUAUGAUGAGACACAGCACAAUGUUACAGACAGCAGGUUGUCUGAGACAUGUGGCUACUGUGGAAGAAAAGAAAGAAAUCGUGUCAGACUACCUCCAAUGGUAUACCAUUGACCGCAACUCAUCUGUAAUUGACAGAUUCAGAGAUGGUCUUUCAACCCUGGAGUUUUUGACUGCACUACAGCAACACCC